This 483-nucleotide ribosomal RNA is filed under the name uncultured bacterium. Its description in RNAcentral is "partial 16S ribosomal RNA". It matches the Rfam family "Bacterial small subunit ribosomal RNA", at positions 29 to 506 of the family's 1533-position model. The record is from RNAcentral.
AUUGAACGCUGGCGGCAUGCUUUACACAUGCAAGUCGAACGGCAGCGCGGGCUUCGGCCUGGCGGCGAGUGGCGAACGGGUGAGUAAUACAUCGGAACGUGCCCAGUAGUGGGGGAUAGCUCGGCGAAAGCCGGAUUAAUACCGCAUACGACCUGAGGGUGAAAGCGGGGGAUCUUCGGACCUCGCGCUAUUGGAGCGGCCGAUGGCAGUUUAGCUAGUUGGUGGGGUAAAGGCCUACCAAGGCGACGAUCUGUAGCUGGUCUGAGAGGACGACCAGCCACACUGGGACUGAGACACGGCCCAGACGCCUACGGGAGGCAGCAGUGGGGAAUUUUGGACAAUGGGCGAAAGCCUGAUCCAGCAAUGCCGCGUGUGUGAUGAAGGCCUUCGGGUUGUAAAGCACUUUUGGCGGGAACGAAAAGGACUGUGCCAAUACCACGGUUCGAUGACGGUACCCGCAGAAUAAGCACCGGCUAACUACGU